Molecule: ribosomal RNA, 1543 nt
Filed under: metagenome
Description: bacterial SSU rRNA
Rfam family: Bacterial small subunit ribosomal RNA
Source: RNAcentral
AGGGUUUGAUCCUGGCUCAGAGUGAACGCUGGCGGCGUGGAUUAGGCAUGCAAGUCGAGCGAUCUUUGUCAUUGAUAGAGAAUGAAGCUACGGCUGAUUUUUCUUGAUUUGGCGCUAGAUAGCGGCAAACGGGUGAGUAACGCGUAGGUAACCUACCUUAAGGAGAAGGACAGCUUCGCGAAAGCGGAGGUAAUACUUCAUAUUCUCUAUAGCUACCUGCUAUAGAGCAAAGACGGCCUCUAUUUAUAAGCUGUCACCUUUUGAGGGGCCUGCGUCCUAUUAGGUUGUUGGUGGGGUAAUGGCUCACCAAGCCAGAGAUGGGUAGCGGGCGUGAGAGCGUGACCCGCCACAUCGGGACUGAGACACUGCCCGGACUUCUACGGAAGGCUGCAGUCGAGAAUCUUUCUCAAUGGACGAAAGUCUGAAGAUGCGACGCCGCGUGGGGGAUGACGGUUUUCGGAUUGUAAACCCCUUUUAUAGUGGAGGAAGGCUCUGGAGCGAAUAGUGUCCAGAGAUUGACUGUACUCUAUGAAUAAGCCACGGCUAACUCCGUGCCAGCAGCCGCGGUAAUACGGAGGUGGCAAGCGUUACUCGGUUUGACUGGGUGUAAAGGGUCCGCAGGCGGCCCUGUAAGUGAAAGGUGAAAUCUUUCGGCUCAACCGGAAAACUGCCUUUCAAACUACAGGACUAGAGGAUGAGAGAGGAAAGCGGAACUGUCGGUGUAAAGGUGAAAUUUGUGGAUAUCGACAGGAACGUCGGUGGAGAAGUCGGCUUUCUGGCUCAUUCCUGACGCUCGGGGACGAAAGCUUGGGUAGCGAACAGGAUUAGAUACCCUGGUAGUCCAAGCUGUAAACGAUGAGCACUAGGUGUUCGUCCGUAAGGAUGGGUGCCGCAGCUAACGCAUUAAGUGCUCCACCUGGGGACUACGGCCGCAAGGCUAAAACUCAAAGGAAUUGACGGGGACCCGCACAAGCGGUGGAACACGUGGUUUAAUUCGAUGCUACGCGAGAAACCUUACCAGGAUUUGACAUGCUAGAGGUAGUAUCCCGAAAGGGAGUCCGACCGGUAACCAAUCCGGAACUAGUGCAGGUGCUGCAUGGCUGUCGUCAGCUCGUGCCGUGAGGUGUUCCCUUAAGUGGAGAACGAGCGCAACCCUCGCCUUUAGUUGCCACCCAUGAUCUUGUAUCAUGGCGCACUCUAGAGGGACUGCCCGCGUUAAGUGGGAGGAAGGUGGGGAUGACGUCAAGUCCGCAUGGCCCUUAUGUCCUGGGCGACACACGUGUUACAAUGGCUGGUACAAAGGGAAGCGAAGCCGCGAGGUGAAGCAUAUCCCAAAAAAACCAGUCUCAGUACGGAUUGUAGGCUGCAACUCGCCUACAUGAAGCUGGAAUCGCUAGUAAUGGCGCAUCAUCACGGCGCCGUGAAUACGUUCCCGGGUCUUGUACACACCGCCCGUCAAGCGCUGAAAAUGGGGGGCGCCCGAAGCCUCGAUUUAUCGAGUUCACGGUGAACUUCAUAAUUGGCGCUAAGUCGUAACAAGGUA